GGGCGUUGUUGUACCCGACCCGGCCUGUCACGCCGGAGGUCGCGGGUUCGAGUCCCGUCGCUCCCG
RNAcentral lists this transfer RNA (66 nucleotides) under Actinomycetota bacterium. RNAcentral's name for it is "tRNA-OTHER". It matches the Rfam family "tRNA". From Rfam's summary of the family: Transfer RNA (tRNA) molecules are approximately 80 nucleotides in length. Their secondary structure includes four short double-helical elements and three loops (D, anti-codon, and T loops). The record is from RNAcentral. Lineage: Bacteria; Bacillati; Actinomycetota.